RNAcentral lists this ribosomal RNA (953 nucleotides) under Haaniella echinata. RNAcentral's name for it is "SSU rRNA". It matches the Rfam family "Eukaryotic small subunit ribosomal RNA", at positions 418 to 1310 of the family's 1831-position model. Lineage: Eukaryota; Metazoa; Arthropoda; Insecta; Phasmatodea; Heteropterygidae. The record is from RNAcentral.
AGGGAAGGCAGCAGGCGCGCAAAUUACCCACUCCCGGCACGGGGAGGUAGUGACGAAAAAUAACGAUACGGGACUCAUCCGAGGCCCCGUAAUCGGAAUGAGUACACUUUAAACCCUUUAACGAGUAUCCAUUGGAGGGCAAGUCUGGUGCCAGCAGCCGCGGUAAUUCCAGCUCCAAUAGCGUAUAUUAAAGUUGUUGCGGUUAAAAAGCUCGUAGUUGGACUUGUGUCCCACNCUGUCGGUUCACCGUUCGUCGGUGUUUAACUGGCAUGCCCGUGCGGACGUCCUGCUGGUGGAUGCAGCGGGCCGUGGGCUUCUGGCCUGCGUGUCGGCGGUCCGAUUCAAUCCUACCGCGGUGCUCUUUACCGAGUGUCGAGGUGGGCCAGCACGUUUACUUUGAACAAAUUAGAGUGCUCAAAGCAGGCAGUGGUUCGCCUGAAUAUUGUGUGCAUGGAAUAAUGGAAUAGGACCUCGGUUCUAUUUUGUUGGUUUUCGGAACUUGAGGUAAUGAUUAAUAGGGACAGACGGGGGCAUUCGUAUUGCGACGUUAGAGGUGAAAUUCUUGGAUCGUCGCAAGACGAACCUAAGCGAAAGCAUUUGCCACGAGUGUUUUCGUUAAUCAAGAACGAAAGUUAGAGGUUCGAAGGCGAUCAGAUACCGCCCUAGUUCUAACCAUAAACGAUGCCAGCUAGCGAUCCGCCGAAGUUCCUCCGAUGACUCGGCGGGCAGCUUCCGGGAAACCAAAGCUUUUGGGUUCCGGGGGAAGUAUGGUUGCAAAGCUGAAACUUAAAGGAAUUGACGGAAGGGCACCACCAGGAGUGGAGCCUGCGGCUUAAUUUGACUCAACACGGGAAACCUCACCAGGCCCGGACACCGGAAGGAUUGACAGAUUGAGAGCUCUUUCUUGAUUCGGUGGGUGGUGGUGCAUGGCCGUUCUUAGUUGGUGGAGCGAU